CGGCGCCCCUCCCCCUAGGAGUCGAGGGGCGGCCGUUUCUCCCGAGACCCUCACUCUGGGGUCGCCGCUCCGCUUCCCCGUCGCUCCCGCACCUGCCAGCGGCAGCCAAGCGCGUGCACAGCAGCCGGCCCGGGCUGAUCGCUCCACGCAUGCCCGGCACCUCGGCACACAGGGACCCUUUCCGCCCCCCACCCCCCGGAAGCGAGGACCCUGAGCCCACAAGGCCAGGGGUGCCGGUGCCCGCGGGAAGCCACUGUCAGGGACGAGUCCGUACCAGCAGUCCCCGCGUGCAGGCCUCUCUGCUGUCUGCAAGAAUAUUGACCAUUCUUUGGCCAACGGCAGCUAAUUGGUAAAUGAACCUGUUUCCGUGAACAAUGCUUGUAAGAGACAACAUUUCUCAAGGCUGUCUCAUCAGCCUGAGAGUUUGAACCUGUCUGGGCACCCUCCCCACUGGCCCAGGUCCCUCCACCAGGCUCCUCACAGCACUCAUGACAGGUGGCACUGGGAGAGAGGAGGAAGAGAGGGGGGAGCGCCUGGGGGCUCCAUUCUCUGGUAAGUUUGUCGCAUGGUGUUUCCCGCACCUUCACAACAAGCCUGUGCCGUGGGCGCCUUUAUUCUUUUUCACAAUGAGGAAACUGAGUCUCAGGUUGAGAAGUCGCCCGAGUGCCCACGGGCACCACCGUGGAAUUCAGUACUGGCUCCAGGCAGAGCCCAAACUCCCAACCGGCAGACGACACAAUACACAAUGGCAGGUGGAUGGAUGGAUGGAUGGAUGGACGGACGAAGGAUGGAAGGAUACACAGAUAAACACUGGGUGGAUGGAUGAGUGAAUGAGGGAGAAGCAAGCACCGAGGGUCUUAAAAGAAGAGAGAGCAACCUGUGUCCACAGAAGCAGUCAGCAAGGCUCUAUGACAGUGGCAGAGCUGAAACUAAGAACAUCACCUUCUUCUAGGACUUGAAAAACCGUAUUUGGUCACCCGGUGAUAAGUAUUUCACCAGGAACAGUGCAUUGCCAAAUCCGCAGGGCUUGCCGGGAGGUGGCAAAGGAACAGACCGCGUGGCAGGGAUGCUGAGACGCUCUGUGUAGCAGGCAGAGGCCUGGGGGGCGGGUGGGGAAUGGAAGUGCUGGCCCUUUAAUGGCCAAGCCCAGGGCUCUGGAUUCCGAUGGCAGUUGAGGAGGGAGGGUUGCAGAAGAAGAGGGACACAGGGCUUCCAGGAACUGUUCGCCAGCUUUCCAGACUAGACGGCCCGCCUCCGCUGGGCCACCAUUUUCCAGGGAGUCGCUGUCACUGCCUAGAGAUCCCCAAGGCUCCCGCCAGCCCAGGUACAGAGGGAGCAGGUCAGACCGGGUCCUGAUGUCACAUUCCCUCCUCCUUCGGCCUUUGCCCAGUCUGCACCUCCUGGACAUCCGUCCUUCACUCCCUCCCAAGGGUGCCUGAGAGCCCAGUUUGCCUGGCACUGAGUUUAGAACUGAAAGCCCCCAUUCCCGGCAGCCCCUUGUUCCACGGAAGCCAGGACGGUCCCCUGCGCUGUCCCUUCCUCGAGGACACUAGGCUCAAUCCACAUUCUGUCCCUUCCGGUCCCUACCAGCACCGUGGCCCUCAUCAGAGUCCAUUCACUUUUCCACCGCCCUCAUAUGGGGUCAUGGGAGCAGGGAGAACCCUUUAGGGCCGCAGUGCCUGCUGGGAGGGGCACUCAGUAGGUACCCAAUAAAGACCCUCUGAACGAAUGAAUCCUGGAAUAUUCACUUUCGCUUCCUGUUGGAUUUAAGCCUAACCUACCUUGCCCCAAAGCCCCCACAACUAAAUCUGGCUGCUCUCAGCUUCCACCCUCCUCCAGGCCUGGACGUCUCCGGGGAGGGCCCCCUCCAGGUGGUGCUGGGUGCAGGGCACCAGUCCAGGGCACCCCCCCAGGCCAGGCUGGGCGGGUCAUCUAGCAGGAAUCCCCGGAAUGCGGCUCAGACUUCCAAUGCCAGGCCCCACCUGUUCCGGUCUGCAAAUCCCCUCCCCACCUCCGCUGGGCUAAUCCCCUUGGUUAGAGAAGGGUCCCGAUGAGUGAGAAAAAAAGCAGCUCCUGUGACCUGAGCGGCCACAUGGAAAUCGGGAGAUGAAACGAACGGGGUUUUCCAAGGCUCUGGAAUGGGGUGGGGUGGGGGGGGGUAUUCUGCACCAGCGGUUUACCGGGUCAUUUUUAAGGAAUGUAAAUGGGGCCGCUAGUGCUCCCCCCUGCACUCCCCUGUCACGUCCAACUGUUUCCAUUUGUCCAUGUUAUUAAAACCCCCGCAGCUGUUCUUACUGAGCGCCUACUGUGUGCCGUCCCCUCGUCUAAGGACGUCAAAUACAGCCUUGUGAAUUCCCAAACAUGGUCGUGAGCUAUUCUGAUCUUUACAGAUG
Molecule: long non-coding RNA, 2393 nt
Organism: Panthera uncia (snow leopard)
Lineage: Eukaryota; Metazoa; Chordata; Mammalia; Carnivora; Felidae
Exons: 3
Source: RefSeq, a predicted model, not a curated record